RNAcentral lists this ribosomal RNA (786 nucleotides) under uncultured bacterium. RNAcentral describes it as "bacterial SSU rRNA". It matches the Rfam family "Bacterial small subunit ribosomal RNA", at positions 649 to 1432 of the family's 1533-position model. The record is from RNAcentral.
UNGGAGAGGAAAGUGGAAUUCCUAGUGUAGCGGUGAAAUGCGUAGAUAUUAGGAAGAACACCAGUGGCGAAGGCGACUUUCUGGACGAAAACUGACGCUGAGGCGCGAAAGCCAGGGGAGCGAACNGGAUUAGAUACCCCGGUAGUCCUGGCCGUAAACGAUGGGUACUAGGUGUAGGAGGUAUCGACCCCUUCUGUGCCGGAGUUAACGCAAUAAGUACCCCGCCUGGGGAGUACGACCGCAAGGUUGAAACUCAAAGGAAUUGACGGGGGCCCGCACAAGCGGUGGAGUAUGUGGUUUAAUUCGACGCAACGCGAAGAACCUUACCAGGUCUUGACAUUGAUGGACAGAACUAGAGAUAGUUCCUCUUCUUCGGAAGCCAGAAAACAGGUGGUGCACGGUUGUCGUCAGCUCGUGUCGUGAGAUGUUGGGUUAAGUCCCGCGACGAGCGCAACCCCUAUCUUAUGUUGCCAGCACGUAAUGGUGGGAACUCAUGAGAGACUGCCGCAGACAAUGCGGAGGAAGGCGGGGAUGACGUCAAAUCAUCAUGCCCCUUAUGACCUGGGCUACACACGUACUACAAUGGGAGUCAAUAGACGGAAGCGAGAUCGCGAGAUGGAGCAAACCCGAGAAACACUCUCUCAGUUCGGAUCGUAGGCUGCAACUCGCCUACGUGAAGUCGGAAUCGCUAGUAAUCGCAGGUCAGCAUACUGCGGUGAAUACGUUCCCGGGCCUUGUACACACCGCCCGUCACACCACGAAAGUCGGAAGUGCCCAAAGCCGGUG